AGCAGCCGCGGUAAUUCCAGCUCCAAUAGCGUAUAUUAAAGUUGUUGCAGUUAAAAAGCUCGUAGUUGAAUUUCGGGGUCAGUAGAUUGGUCGUGCCACUGGUAUGUACUGGUCUUACUGGCUCCUCCUUCCUGAUGAACCGUAAUGCCAUUAAUUUGGUGUUGCGGGGAGACUGGACUGUUACUUUGAAAAAAUUAGAGUGUUUAAAGCAGGCUAACGCUUGAAUACAUUAGCAUGGAAUAAUGGAAUAGGACGUUCGAUCUUAUUUUGUUGGUUUCUAGGAUUGGCGUAAUGAUUAAUAGGGAUAGUUGGGGGCAUUAGUAUUCAAUUGUCAGAGGUGAAAUUCUUGGAUUUAUUGAAGACUAACUACUGCGAAAGCAUUUGCCAAGGAUGUUUUCAUUAAUCAAGAACGAAAGUUAGGGGAUCGAAGACGAUCAGAUACCGUCGUAGUCUUAACCAUAAACUAUGCCGACUAGGGAUCGGAUGAUGUUUAAUUUUUUAAUGUACUCAUUCGGCGCCUUAAC
This 524-nucleotide ribosomal RNA is filed under the name uncultured fungus. Its description in RNAcentral is "SSU rRNA". It matches the Rfam family "Eukaryotic small subunit ribosomal RNA", at positions 569 to 1092 of the family's 1831-position model. Lineage: Eukaryota; Fungi. The record is from RNAcentral.